This 439-nucleotide ribosomal RNA is filed under the name uncultured bacterium. RNAcentral's name for it is "partial 16S ribosomal RNA". It matches the Rfam family "Bacterial small subunit ribosomal RNA", at positions 338 to 795 of the family's 1533-position model. The record is from RNAcentral.
CCUACGGGAGGCAGCAGUGGGGGAUAUUGCACAAUGGGGGAAACCCUGAUGCAGCGAUGCCGCGUGAAUGAAGACGGCCUUCGGGUUGUAAAGUUCUGUCGCAGGGGACGAAAAUGACGGUACCCUGCAAGAAAGCUCCGGCUAACUACGUGCCAGCAGCCGCGGUAAUACGUAGGGAGCAAGCGUUGUCCGGAAUUACUGGGUGUAAAGGGAGCGUAGGCGGGAGGAUAAGUUGAAUGUGAAAUCUAUGGGCUCAACCCAUAGCUGCGUUCAAAACUGUUCUUCUUGAGUGAAGUAGAGGCAGGCGGAAUUCCUAGUGUAGCGGUGAAAUGCGUAGAUAUUAGGAGGAACACCAGUGGCGAAGGCGGCCUGCUGGGCUUUUACUGACGCUGAGGCUCGAAAGCGUGGGUAGCAAACAGGAUUAGAUACCCCAGUAGUC